CGACCUGGUGGCCAUAGCGAGGGCCCCAACACCCGAUCCCAUCCCGAACUCGGCCGUGAAAUCCCUCCGCGCCCAUGGUACUGCGUCUCAAGACGUGGGAGAGUCGGUCGCCGCCAGGUCC
This 121-nucleotide ribosomal RNA is filed under the name Rhodospirillum centenum. The record is from RNAcentral. Lineage: Bacteria; Pseudomonadati; Pseudomonadota; Alphaproteobacteria; Rhodospirillales; Rhodospirillaceae. RNAcentral also lists the same sequence under 1 other name.